Molecule: ribosomal RNA, 163 nt
Filed under: Coolia monotis
Lineage: Eukaryota; Dinophyceae; Peridiniales; Ostreopsidaceae
Description: 5.8S ribosomal RNA
Rfam family: 5.8S ribosomal RNA (bases 1-91)
About the family: 5.8S ribosomal RNA (5.8S rRNA) is a component of the large subunit of the eukaryotic ribosome. It is transcribed by RNA polymerase I as part of the 45S precursor that also contains 18S and 28S rRNA.
Source: RNAcentral
UUGUGAAAUGCAGAAUCCCGUGAAUCAAUUCAUGUUUGAAUGUGUCUGGCAUCUUUGGGAUAUGCUUGAAGAUAUGUUCGAUUCAAUGUCGAAUGUGUUUGUAUGAAUGUGUACAAUGUGUUUGAGUGAUCACCUUGCACAUUUGUUGUUGUAUGUAUAACUU